UGGGGAAUAUUGGACAAUGGGCGCAAGCCUGAUCCAGCCAUGCCGCGUGAGUGAUGAAGGCCUCAGGGUUGUAAAGCUCUUUCACCGGUGAAGAUAAUGACGGUAACCGGAGAAGAAGCCCCGGCUAACUUCGUGCCAGCAGCCGCGGUAAUACGAAGGGGGCUAGCGUUGUUCGGAUUUACUGGGCGUAAAGCGCACGUAGGCGGACUUUUAAGUCAGGGGUGAAAUCCCGGGGCUCAACCCCGGAACUGCCUUUGAUACUGGAAGUCUUGCGUAUGGUAGAGGUGAGUGGAAUUCCGAGUGUAGAAGUGAAAUUCGUAGAUAUUCGGAGGAACACCAGUGGCGAAGGCGGCUCACUGGACCAUUACUGACGCUGAAGUGCGAAAGCGUGGGGAGCAAACAGG
Molecule: ribosomal RNA, 404 nt
Filed under: Actinomycetes bacterium
Lineage: Bacteria; Bacillati; Actinomycetota; Actinomycetes
Description: Actinobacteria bacterium partial 16S ribosomal RNA
Rfam family: Bacterial small subunit ribosomal RNA
Source: RNAcentral